UACUGCCACAAAAUGGAGGCAAGGAACAUGGAAGACCAUGUAAACCACUGGAACUAGAAAAUGGCAGGGUUGAUUUAACUGAUCUCCGGUUUGGUGCAACAGCAACCUUCUCCUGUAAUGAAGGGUACAGAUUAAUUGGAACGACUUCUGCCCAAUGUGUGGUUGCGGGAAAUGGAGUUGAUUGGGAUAAGGAGCUUCCACUUUGCCAAGCAAUACCUUGUACUUCCACUCCUGAU
Molecule: non-coding RNA, 236 nt
Organism: Chelonoidis abingdonii (Abingdon island giant tortoise)
Lineage: Eukaryota; Metazoa; Chordata; Testudines; Testudinidae
Source: RefSeq, a predicted model, not a curated record